UACGUAGGGUGCAAGCGUUGUCCGGAAUUACUGGGCGUAAAGGGCUCGUAGGCGGCCAACUAAGUCAGACGUGAAAUCCCUCGGCUUAACCGGGGAACUGCGUCUGAUACUGGAUGGCUUGAGUUCGGGAGAGGGAUGCGGAAUUCCAGGUGUAGCGGUGAAAUGCGUAGAUAUCUGGAGGAACACCGGUGGCGAAGGCGGCAUCCUGGACCGACACUGACGCUGAGGAGCGAAAGCCAGGGGAGCAAACGGG
This 253-nucleotide ribosomal RNA is filed under the name uncultured bacterium. Its description in RNAcentral is "partial 16S ribosomal RNA". It matches the Rfam family "Bacterial small subunit ribosomal RNA", at positions 524 to 776 of the family's 1533-position model. The record is from RNAcentral.